GAUGAACGCUGGCGGCGUGCCUAAUACAUGCAAGUCGAGCGAACAGACGAGGAGCUUGCUCCUUUGACGUUAGCGGCGGACGGGUGAGUAACACGUGGGUAACCUACCUAUAAGACUGGGAUAACUUCGGGAAACCGGAGCUAAUACCGGAUAAUAUUUCGAACCGCAUGGUUCGAUAGUGAAAGAUGGCUUUGCUAUCACUUAUAGAUGGACCUGCGCCGUAUUAGCUAGUUGGUAAGGUAACGGCUUACCAAGGCAACGAUACGUAGCCGACCUGAGAGGGUGAUCGGCCACACUGGAACUGAGACACGGUCCAGACUCCUACGGGAGGCAGCAGUAGGGAAUCUUCCGCAAUGGGCGAAAGCCUGACGGAGCAACGCCGCGUGAGUGAUGAAGGUCUUCGGAUCGUAAAACUCUGUUAUUAGGGAAGAACAAACGUGUAAGUAACUGUGCCCGUCUUGACGGUACCUAAUCAGAAAGCCACGGCUAACUACGUG
RNAcentral lists this ribosomal RNA (497 nucleotides) under uncultured bacterium. Its description in RNAcentral is "partial 16S ribosomal RNA". It matches the Rfam family "Bacterial small subunit ribosomal RNA", at positions 28 to 507 of the family's 1533-position model. The record is from RNAcentral.